CCUACGGGUGGCAGCAGUGGGGGAUAUUGCACAAUGGGGGGAACCCUGAUGCAGCGACGCCGCGUGAGGGAAGACGGCCUUCGGGUUGUAAACCUCUGUCGCAGGGGACGAAGGAGAUGACGGUACCCUGUGAGGAAGCCACGGCUAACUACGUGCCAGCAGCCGCGGUAAUACGUAGGUGGCGAGCGUUGUCCGGAAUUACUGGGUGUAAAGGGAGCGUAGGCGGGAUAUUAAGUUGAAUGUAUAAACUACCGGCUUAACCGAUAGAAGCGUUCAAAACUGAUAUUCUUGAGUGAAGUAGAGGCAGGCGGAAUUCCUAGUGUAGCGGUGAAAUGCGUAGAUAUUAGGAGGAACACCAGUGGCGAAGGCGGCCUGCUGGGCUUUAACUGACGCUGAGGCUCGAAAGCGUGGGUAGCAAACAGGAUUAGAUACCCUAGU
This 438-nucleotide ribosomal RNA is filed under the name uncultured bacterium. Its description in RNAcentral is "bacterial SSU rRNA". It matches the Rfam family "Bacterial small subunit ribosomal RNA", at positions 338 to 791 of the family's 1533-position model. The record is from RNAcentral.